Molecule: ribosomal RNA, 465 nt
Filed under: uncultured Klebsiella sp.
Lineage: Bacteria; Pseudomonadati; Pseudomonadota; Gammaproteobacteria; Enterobacterales; Enterobacteriaceae
Description: bacterial SSU rRNA
Rfam family: Bacterial small subunit ribosomal RNA
Source: RNAcentral
CCUACGGGUGGCUGCAGUGGGGAAUAUCGCACAAUGGGCGCAAGCCUGAUGCAGCCAUGCCGCGUGUGUGAAGAAGGCCUUCGGGUUGUAAAGCACUUUCAGCGGGGAGGAAGGCGGUGAGGUUAAUAACCUCAUCGAUUGACGUUACCCGCAGAAGAAGCACCGGCUAACUCCGUGCCAGCAGCCGCGGUAAUACGGAGGGUGCAAGCGUUAAUCGGAAUUACUGGGCGUAAAGCGCUCGCAGGCGGUCUGUCAAGUCGGAUGUGAAAUCCCCGGGCUCAACCUGGGAACUGCAUUCGAAACUGGCAGGCUAGAGUCUUGUAGAGGGGGGUAGAAUUCCAGGUGUAGCGGUGAAAUGCGUAGAGAUCUGGAGGAAUACCGGUGGCGAAGGCGGCCCCCUGGACAAAGACUGACGCUCAGGUGCGAAAGCGUGGGGAGCAAACAGGAGUAGAUACCCGAGUAGUC